CAGGGUAUAGCCUAGAAAAAGCGCUUCGCUUACACCGAAAUGACGUCUGUUAGACCCAGACUACCCUGAG
This 70-nucleotide transfer RNA is filed under the name Pristimantis vertebralis (vertebral robber frog). RNAcentral's name for it is "tRNA-Val". It matches the Rfam family "tRNA". From Rfam's summary of the family: Transfer RNA (tRNA) molecules are approximately 80 nucleotides in length. Their secondary structure includes four short double-helical elements and three loops (D, anti-codon, and T loops). The record is from RNAcentral. Lineage: Eukaryota; Metazoa; Chordata; Amphibia; Anura; Strabomantidae.